UGGGGAAUAUUGCACAAUGGGCGGAAGCCUGAUCCAGCGACGCCGCGUGGGGGAUGAAGGCCUUCGUGUUGUAAACUCCUUUCGACAGGGACGAAGCUUUUGUGACGGUACCUGUAUCAGAAGCACCGGCUAACUACGUGCCAGCAGCCGCGGUAAUACGUAGGGUGCGAGCGUUGUCCGGAAUUACUGGGCGUAAAGAGCUCGUAGGUGGUUUGUCGCGUCGUCUGUGAAAUUCCGGGGCUUAACUCCGGGGGUGCAGGCGAUACGGACUGACUUGAGUGCUGUAGGGGAGACUGGGAUUCCUGGUGUAGCGGUGAAAUGCGCAGAUAUCAGGAGGAACAACGAUGGCGAAGGCAGGUCUCUGGGCAGUAACUGACGCUGAGGAGCGAAAGCAUGGGUAGCGAACAGG
Molecule: ribosomal RNA, 409 nt
Filed under: Verrucomicrobiota bacterium
Lineage: Bacteria; Pseudomonadati; Verrucomicrobiota
Description: Verrucomicrobia bacterium partial 16S ribosomal RNA
Rfam family: Bacterial small subunit ribosomal RNA
Source: RNAcentral